Ornithodoros turicata is the source of this 2995-nucleotide long non-coding RNA. RefSeq lists it as uncharacterized. The transcript is spliced from 2 exons. NCBI's taxonomy places the organism in Eukaryota, Metazoa, Arthropoda, Arachnida, Ixodida, Argasidae. The record is from RefSeq and is a predicted model, not a curated record.
CGACCUUCACCCCGCGACCCCGCUCCAACCCUUCUACGCCUCUGGCCUCUUCAUUCAGCAAUAGCCACAAUAGCGCCCUAGCGUCGCGUCAACGAACUACUCUGUCAAAACAAACAGGCGUCACAUUGCUCAUUGCUUUGUUGUGGUCGGCAGGCGUGCACCGCGCAAAUACGAAUGCUCAAAAUACAAAACGGUCAAGUUCUUUCAUUGUGCGGGCAUCGUUAGGGUUUAUAGAGAGCGAUAAUUGUGUCGCAGAAUUGUUGUUUUCUAGCAGAUGUAGAUUGCUUCAGUGCGGCUUUGUAUGCAAAUGCAUGUUCGGUUGCUGGUGUGCUGUCUUACUGUUUGUUUGGUGUUGGACGGUUUGUAUCAUAGUUUCGGUUGACAUCGAUAGGUGUUGUGACUGCUGGUGAACAUAUGUUGUUGUGCACACUUGUGAUUUCGGCAUGUGAGAGUGUGUGGCGUGGGUAUGAAAGACGGGACUGCAUGACACAGGUGGCUGCGUCUAUGCACGAUAUAAGGAACAAAAACCGAGAGACACGGGACGAAGAAACAAACACGACAAGAUUGUCAGAGACGGUCACACAGUUUGUUCUUUGCGCGUUAUGCACCAGUUUGUCUGCGCCCUGUCCCUUCUGCAUGACAAACUUGAGUCCUUGCAUUGAGUGCCUCUACCCACCGAGGGAGUCUUCAUCCUGCCUCAAGAAAUACAAAUCCACCAAAUAGCUGCCCUUACUGCCAGAAGAAAUUCUUCGACCGUUCCACGAUGAAACGGCACAUGAAACGGCAUUCCCUGUUUCGUGAGACAUUCGACUGCUUGGUGUGCUUACGGUCGUUCUCUCGGAAAGACAAGCUGAGGGAACACCUCAAAAGUGCGAGGCAUCGCAAUUUUGUGAAAGAGAAUGUCCUCGAUGACACACCUCCAGUCCUUGUGUCAACUGGUCUGAGUCUUGUACCUGCACUAAGAAAAUAGCACCUGUUCAUUUCCUCGAAGUCAUAAUCUAGUUGAAAGGCCUUCAGAGUCCAAAUGAUCUCAGGAUACGGAAAUACUCAUAACUAUUUCUUUUCUACGGGGCUUUUAUGUUGCCUUGCACGAUCGUAUCGCACUUGCCCGUUAGCGGCCAAAUAGAGUUCAAGGAGGCGUACUGUGUUUUUCUCCAUGUUAUGUGAUAUGUUGUACUAAGAAUGCCUUGUGUGUGAUGUUGAAAGUAGAUUUGCUAGUAAGCAUACUAAUAAUUUAAUUAGGUGUCUCACUUUAAAACAACUAACAUGUACACAAUUCCUCCUCGGCACAUUAUAGAAUGGCUUACAUGACCACAAGUCUAUCAGUGUGACACAAAAUUACAAUCCACAUCGCAAUUGCAUUGCAAAACAUAAGGCAGCACGUAACUGUCCUCAAUACGUUGGAGUUUGAUGAAGAUUUCUCUGAAGUCUUAUUGGGUUUUCUUUUCUUUUUUUUUUUUUGUCGUUGACACUAUUAUUGCUAAGAAACAACAAAAAUGCUGCGUGCAUUUAACUCCCUAUUCUAGUAAAAAUUCAUCACAUUCACCUGUGUUUGCUUCACGUUACCUUUGUGGGCGACAGGCUGCACCAGUAGCAAGCGGUAGACAAUAUACAACACAUGCACUAUUCAGUACCAGUUUGGUCGACAAUCCAACAUGGUGGAAUGUAAUGAUGUGAUUAGCUUGCUCGUUGCACUUUCUGACAACUUCAGUUUGCCUUCAGUUUUUCUUAGCAAUGAUCACCUGUUGUGCCAUCAGUCAUUGGACUAUUAUGAUGCAAGACCUUUUGCAUCGCUUUUGUUGUUCCUAAAUAGAUGCAGCAUCUGCAAAACAUUCUAUGCUCCAACUUCAGGAAUUCCUUUCUUGGAAGUUUGUGAUGUUUGAAGCGUGUCGGAUGGUCUCUUACCCUUUUGUGACACUUUAAACCGUGUAGCAAUUUCUAUGUAACCCCGUGUGAUCUGCGUCUGGUGAACCACUAGGUUUAUAUGAAACUGUGUGAUUAAUGCCCACUAGUGCAGAUUGAUUAGAUACAGAUUAAAUUACUGAAGCAAAAUUCUUGCUCUGUUGAAAGCUGGUCACUCCAACUUCAAAAUUUUGUGGUAAAGUAGCAGUAUAGUUAAAAUAUGUGCCCACAUACUUUAAGCUGAAAUAAGUAAGUUGCCCUGCUUGAAGGUUAUCACAAAGGACGCUUGACCUCUCUUGUAAGCCACUGCCUUGUACUCUGCUUGUAAGCCACUGCCUUACUCCUGACUGCAAGGUGCAUUUACAGGUACUGUAGUGUGAUAAGACCUUGCAAAAACCUUCAAGUGCUCCUUAAGCAAAGAAGCGUGCAACAAAAAUAUAAGUAGAGCCUGAAGUUUUAGGGUUUUACCCGAUUCUUCCCCGAAUUUGCACCCCGAAUUGAAGGUUGCCUCUUUAGGGUAAAACCUGAUUUUUACCAGGUAAAUUGCCCUCUCUGGGAUGUCUAUAGGAAUGCACCAACUUACUUGUUUGGCAGAAAAAUGUAGUUACAUCACCGUUUGUACCAAAUUGCUACAGUUAGUUUGAAUAACGGAGUCCGAUUUCUCCCCGAUUUUAGCGCAAUGGAAGUUUUUUCACUCGAAUUCGCAUGAAUUUAGUGCACAUGUUUAUUUACCGAUUUUUACCCCCCGAAUUUAGAAAAAAAUAUUUCUCGAAAACUUCAGGCUCUAAAUAUAAGAUGUCUUCAAGUGAUCUUUACCUGCCUUUGAGAAGCUCCAGAGGUUUUAUAUGCAGUAAUGGGAAAUUUUCCCCAACUUAUACUGUUUAGCUUGAAUGUGUCAUCACUGCAGCAUAUCUACCUGAGUGGCUUUCAAGUGCAGAUAAGCACUAUGCUGUCUGUAUUCUCAUGGAAGAAAAAAAUGUGCAAACUUACAAAGAUGACAACUUAUGCAGCACUUUAUACUUGUCACUUUAAUGGCUGUAUUGCUCAAGUGUGUGAUCUACAUGUGUCAAUAAAAGCACCAUAUUUUUCAGUA